RNAcentral lists this long non-coding RNA (2375 nucleotides) under Homo sapiens (human). RNAcentral describes it as "PREDICTED lncRNA (TCONS_00246157)". The record is from RNAcentral. Lineage: Eukaryota; Metazoa; Chordata; Mammalia; Primates; Hominidae.
GUCUGGAGCAAAACUGCUGAGGUUUGAGGCCCCGUUUUGCUGCUCACUAGCUACAUGAUCUUGGGCAAGUUAUUUAAGCUCUCUGAGCUUCAGUUUCUUCCUCUGCAGAAUGGGGAUGAAAGUGGACUACUACCUCAUGGCAUGUUUUGAGGAUGAAAUGAGCUAAUAAACACAGUCUUCAGCCCUACAUUAGGAUGGCCUAAGGAAAACAAGAAGACUGAAUGAUAUUCCCUGCUGACUUAUAUAAGUUAUUAGUCUUCUAGAAGGAUCACAAGGAACCAGCAUCAAAGAAAUGGAAUCCAGCUAAUUCCCCCAAGAAACUGAAGUUUUCGGGACAUGACUUGUGAAAGGCAAACAUAAGCUGACAUCUUUUCACACUGAACAGCAAGAGCCAAAGUGUAUCCGAAAAGCCAUUGUCAAAACAAGGAGUGAGAACAGCUGGGGUCAAGACCUAAUGAAGGGCAUCACUCAGCCUCUUUGAGCCUCGGAUUCCUCAUUUGUAAAGUGGGCAUAAUAAUACCUCACAGGGUAGUUAUGAGGGCAAAUGAGAUAAUGGACACGAAGGCACCUGUACACUCCACGGUGCUAUCAGAAUAUUGACUAUUAGUGCUUUCAUCACGCGGCUCCAUCCAAACCCCUGCUUUCCCUCACUCCAACAGGCUUUUACUCUGUCACCCAUGCUGGAGUGCAGUGGUGCAAUCUUGGCUCACUGAAACCUCUGCCUCCUGGAUUCAAGCGAUCCUCCCACCUCAGCCUCCCGAGUAGCUGGGACUACAGGCAACCUGGCGGUUCCCCGCUCCAGGGAGGUCACCCUCUUGAUGCUGAAUUUAGCACGGACACCUGAUGGGCACAGUGCACUGCAGCCCAGAGCUCCUGAGCUCAAGCCAUCCUCCUGCCUCAGCCUCCAAGUAGCCAGGACCACAGGCACGCACCCUGAGGAGGAAGAAAUACCAGGUGCGCAUGCUCCAAGAAAAAGCCAUCUGAGGACGCGGCAAGAAGGCCGCCAUCUACAAGCCAAGGAGAGGGGCCUCAGGAGAAAUCGAACCUGUCACACCUUGAUCUUGGACUUCCAGCCUUCAGAACUGUGAGAAAGUAAAUUUCUGUGUUCAAGCUACCAGGUCUGUGGGAUUUUUUAUGGCAGCCCUAGCAGACUAAGACAGGCAUCAAUGGUUCCAAUGUUUUCAUUUUUUUUCCGGUAAGCAGACCGAAGCCCAGAGAGAUGAAGCAAUUUGCCCAAAGUCACAUACCAAGUUAACUGAAGAGUUGGGGUUAGAAUCCAGCUCUUGUGACUUCUCUCUUUUCAGUUUCCCUUCCCACUCCCCCCACUGAAAAGCUUUUGAGUGACUCUUUUAGAAAUCCCGGUUCUGUAUAUGAAGCAGAAUUGAGCACAGCUGCUCUAAUGAAGGGCUCAGAGCUCCCAGGCUUUUCUCUCUCCCCUGCCCCUUUUCCCUGUUGCACCUCUGCAGUGUCCUGAGGGUUGAUGGAAUCUAGUUUGAAAGCUAUUGCUCUACCUCACUGCCUCCUGAAUGCAAUGUCACAAAUUUUCCCAACUUGCCAUUUCUCUCACACUGACAUAAAGCAUUAGAAACCUGUUGUGAAGUAGGAAAGCUAACUGGGUCAGUAGCUGAUAAGAUAAUCUGGCCUAGGGGAUAGAUGAUUAGGAUUUCAGAGAAGGAAAGGUCACCCAAUUGAUUUGACUCUGUCCUGGGGCGAUGAUAUGGUGAAGAUUUCUACAGAUGCAGCAGAAACAUCCGGAAACCAGGUGUGUCCCAGCUCUGGUCUGGGAACCAUUUCAUAAAUUGGCAAAUAUCCAGGAUAUACACAUGGCUAAUUCUGAGGUGUACUGAAGUUUCAAUAAAGCUACUUUGGUAAUGACUAGGAGAAGAAAAUCCUAUGGCUGGACUUCAUUAAUGUUGUAUGGCCAAGGACAGUGUUUCUCUAAUUAUGGCCUGUGAACCUCCCUGGAUCUCGAUCACCUGCAUAUUUGGGAAUAUGCAGGUUCCAGGGUCCCACCUGAAACUACAGAAUCAGUAUUGAGAUCCCAGGUGAUUCUCAUGUACACUCAAGUGUAAGAUUAUUAGCACCUGGACUUUGGAAGCAGCCAGAUAAAAGUUUGGAUCCUGGGUUGGCUACUUCCUAGAUGUGGCCAAGUCAUUUUACUUGCCAUGCUUUUGCUUUUCUUGUCUGUAAAGUGGACAUGAUACCUAUUUUACAGGGUGGUUUUGAGGAAUAAGGUCAGCAUUAAACAUUUAUCCUCUUUAGGGAGACAGAGAGAGGAGAUGAAAUAGAGUAGAAUUGAGAAAAGCAGUUUCUUAGACCUCCCUGUGAAGUUUUUCUUAUUUCAACAAAUAAUAAAAUAAAAAAUUCAUACACUU